This 253-nucleotide ribosomal RNA is filed under the name uncultured bacterium. Its description in RNAcentral is "partial 16S ribosomal RNA". It matches the Rfam family "Bacterial small subunit ribosomal RNA", at positions 524 to 776 of the family's 1533-position model. The record is from RNAcentral.
UACGUAGGGGGCAAGCGUUGUCCGGAUUCAUUGGGCGUAAAGAGCGUGUAGGCGGCCAGGUAGGUCCGCUGUGAAAACUCGAGGCUCAACCUCGAGAUGUCGGCGGAAACCAUCUGGCUAGAGUCCGGAAGAGGAGAGUGGAAUUCCCGGUGUAGCGGUGAAAUGCGUAGAGAUCGGGAGGAACACCAGAGGCGAAAGCGGCAUCCUGGGCCAAGCCUGACGCUGAGGCGCGAAAGCGUGGGGAGCGAACCGG